RNAcentral lists this ribosomal RNA (262 nucleotides) under uncultured Synechococcus sp. RNAcentral's name for it is "partial 16S ribosomal RNA". It matches the Rfam family "Bacterial small subunit ribosomal RNA", at positions 1273 to 1533 of the family's 1533-position model. The record is from RNAcentral. Lineage: Bacteria; Bacillati; Cyanobacteriota; Cyanophyceae; Synechococcales; Synechococcaceae.
CAUAAAAACCGUGGCUCAGUUCAGAUCGUAGGCUGCAACUCGCCUACGUGAAGGAGGAAUCGCUAGUAAUCGCAGGUCAGCAUACUGCGGUGAAUACGUUCCCGGGCCUUGUACACACCGCCCGUCACACCAUGGAAGUUGGCCACGCCCGAAGCCGUUACUCCAACCCUUGUGGAGGAGGACGUCGAAGGUGGGGCUGAUGACUGGGGUGAAGUCGUAACAAGGUAGCCGUACCGGAAGGUGCGGCUGGAUCACCUCCUAA